AGGGAUUUAGCUUAGCGGUGUAAGCACCUGCCUGGCAAGUACAAAGUCAUGAGUUCUAUCUUUAAAAUUCUUG
RNAcentral lists this transfer RNA (73 nucleotides) under Cavia porcellus (domestic guinea pig). It matches the Rfam family "tRNA". Rfam says of the family: Transfer RNA (tRNA) molecules are approximately 80 nucleotides in length. Their secondary structure includes four short double-helical elements and three loops (D, anti-codon, and T loops). Further hydrogen bonds mediate the characteristic L-shaped molecular structure. tRNAs have two regions of fundamental functional importance: the anti-codon, which is responsible for specific mRNA codon recognition, and the 3' end, to which the tRNAs corresponding amino acid is attached (by aminoacyl-tRNA synthetases). tRNAs cope with the degeneracy of the genetic code in two manners: having more than one tRNA (with a specific anti-codon) for a particular amino acid; and 'wobble' base-pairing, i.e. permitting non-standard base-pairing at the 3rd anti-codon position. Lineage: Eukaryota; Metazoa; Chordata; Mammalia; Rodentia; Caviidae. The record is from Rfam by way of RNAcentral.